UAGCCAUGCUCACUUUUAUUUUUUCAAAAUGCCCAGGAUCACAGCAUUUUUCAUUCAGGUAAAUUGCACUCAGCAAUGGCAUACUGUGGGAUGAAAAAUGUUUGUCCACGAGUCAGAUGAUUCCUGAUAUUCUUCAAAACAUGUGGAACAUCAGGCAUAAAUAUCCCAAAUUCCCGAAGAACAGCCUGGUUGCCCCCU
This is a long non-coding RNA of Xenia sp. Carnegie-2017, 198 nucleotides long. RefSeq lists it as uncharacterized. The transcript is spliced from 3 exons. Lineage: Eukaryota; Metazoa; Cnidaria; Anthozoa; Malacalcyonacea; Xeniidae. The record is from RefSeq and is a predicted model, not a curated record.